This 388-nucleotide ribosomal RNA is filed under the name uncultured organism. RNAcentral's name for it is "bacterial SSU rRNA". It matches the Rfam family "Bacterial small subunit ribosomal RNA", at positions 45 to 433 of the family's 1533-position model. The record is from RNAcentral.
UGCCUAACACAUGCAAGUCGAACGGCAGCACAGGUAGCAAUACCGGGUGGCGAGUGGCGGACGGGUGAGUAAAGCAUCGGGAUCUACCCUGACGUGGGGGAUAACCUCGGGAAACCGGGACUAAUACCGCAUACGUCCUACGGGAGAAAGCGGGGGACCUUCGGGCCUCGCGCGGCAGGACGAACCGAUGUGCGAUUAGCUAGUUGGCGGGGUAACGGCCCACCAAGGCGACGAUCGCUAGCUGGUCUGAGAGGAUGAUCAGCCACACUGGGACUGAGACACGGCCCAGACUCCUACGGGAGGCAGCAGUGGGGAAUUUUGGACAAUGGGGGCAACCCUGAUCCAGCAAUGCCGCGUGAGUGAAGAAGGCCUUCGGGUUGUAAAGCUC